GAUGUUGCUUUUUCUUCUUGCCACAACUAAUUAUCUUCUCGUCAUUUCCACUAAAAAGGCCAGUGUACUUUUUACUUACUAACAUGGAACCUGCAGUGUUUUGGCACACCUGCUUAGCAAUUUGUAUCUUCUUUUCUGGUUUCAUGGUGUCAUGUCAUCUAACAGACCAAGUUUCAUUGUCGAGCAAUUUCUUGUUUGGAACGGCCUCUUCAUCUUACCAGUAUGAAGGAGCUUUCCUCAGUGAUGGGAAACGCCUCAGCAACUGGGACGUUUUUACCCAUGAUGCUGGUCAUGUUAAGGAUGGAAGCAAUGGAGAUGUUGCUGUUGAUCACUACCAUCGUUAUUUGGAAGACAUCAAACUCAUGGCAGAUAUGGGUGUGAAUAGCUUUCGUUUCUCUAUCUCAUGGGCAAGAAUUUUACCUAAUAAGUUAAACUAGGGCAGAUUUGGAAAAAUUAAUAUGGCCGGAAUUAAGCACUACAAUAAGGUCAUUGAUGCACUCCUACUGAAAGGGAUCCAACCGUUUGUAACAUUAACACAUUAUGACAUACCACAAGAUCUUGAGGACAGAUAUGGUGGUUGGCUAAGUUCACGGAUACGGUAUGAUUUUAGCUAUUUUGCAAAAAUAUGCUUCAAAUACUUCGGAGAUAGAGUUAAAUAUUGGAUAACGAUGAUGAGGCUAGCUUCGUGGCCAUUAGUGGCUAUAGAGAUGGGAGUUACCCUCCAGCUCGAUGCUCUGGUAUAUUUGGGAAUUGUAGUGCUGGCGGGGAUUCAGAAAGGGAGCCCUUCAUUGCAGCUCACAAUAUGAUCCUGUCUCAUGCAGCUGCUGUCCGCAUUUACCGUACUAGAUAUCAGAAAAGACAAGGAGGCAUGAUUGGCAUUACUAUGGGUAUCGAAUGGUAUGAACCAUUUAACAAUUCCUCAGAAGACAUAGCUGCAACUAAUAAAGCUCGAUCAUUCUAUACCAAUUGGUUUUUAGACCCUAUUAUAUUAGGAAGAUAUCAUGAAGAAAUGGUACAAAUUUUGGGAUCUAAUCUUCCAAAAUUUUAAAUGAGUGAUUUGAGAAUGUUAAGUUAUGGCCUAGAUUUCAUUGGCAUCAAUCAUUAUUCGGCUGUCUAUAUCAAAGAUUGCUUGUAUUCUGCCUGUGAACAUGGAAACUCUUGGUCAGAGGGUUCGUAUUUAACGACUACUCAAAGAGACGAUGUCUACAUCGGGGAACCUGGGGAAGUGGACUGGCAAUUUGUGUACCCACAAGGGAUUGAAAAAGUUGUGAUGUAUAUAAAGGACAGAUUCAACAAUACUCCUAUGUUUAUAACUGAAAAUGGCUUUGCUGGGAACAGUACUUCUAUAGAGGAUACCUUGAAUGAUGUUCAUAGAGUGAAAUACUUGCAUAGCUACUUAAAUUCAUUGGCAAAUGCCAUCAAGAAAGGUGCAGAUGUAAGGGGGUACUUUGUUUGGUCCCUUCUUGAUAACUUCGAGUGGCUAGAUGGAUAUACCACAAGAUUUGGACUUUACUACGUCAACUAUACUAAUCUCCAAAGAACUCCAAAAUUAUCAGCCACCAAGUAUCCAGAGCUCAUGUGUAACUUUCGCAUAGAUCUUGAAGCACAUACUACCCAGAAAUAGCAUAAGAAGACGAUGCAUAUGUGGAAGCUUGUUGAAUAUUAUUUUAUUUAAGUCUCUGUUAUUGGAAGGCAAUUAUUGGGAAGUCAUAGUAUAAUUGUUCCGCCUAAUCCCUUCCUUUAUAUUGAAUAAAUUAGGUCAAGAUCUAGUCUUUUUAUUCACUCUAAUAAAGUAAUGAAGAUUUAUUGUUUAAGUAGAAAUGUUCUGUUGAAAGCUGAAUUUUGUCCA
Nicotiana attenuata is the source of this 1849-nucleotide RNA transcript. It is a transcript of the gene named beta-glucosidase 18-like, with no coding region annotated. The transcript is spliced from 11 exons. The record is from RefSeq and is a predicted model, not a curated record. Lineage: Eukaryota; Viridiplantae; Streptophyta; Magnoliopsida; Solanales; Solanaceae.